UACGUAGGGUGCAAGCGUUAAUCGGAAUUACUGGGCGUAAAGCGUGCGUAGUCGGUUAUUUAAGUCGGGUGUGAAAUCCCCGGGCUCAACCUGGGAAUUGCAUUCGAUACUGGAUAGCUAGAGUUCGGCAGAGGGAAGCGGAAUUUCUGGUGUAGCGGUGAAAUGCGUAGAUAUCAGAAGGAACAUCAGUGGCGAAAGCGGCUUCCUGGACCAGAACUGACGAUCAGGCACGAAAGCGUGGGGAGCAAACAGG
This 253-nucleotide ribosomal RNA is filed under the name uncultured bacterium. RNAcentral describes it as "partial 16S ribosomal RNA". It matches the Rfam family "Bacterial small subunit ribosomal RNA", at positions 524 to 776 of the family's 1533-position model. The record is from RNAcentral.